GGAUUAACGAGCGCUUGUUAUUGGAGUUUGAGUAGAGAAUCUGUGAACGUUCGUCAUUUCCGGAGGGAGAUGAGCGUUUGGAAGAAGCAUUGAAUGAAGAGAGCCUGGUUGAUGUUGAAGUGAAGAUCGAGCAGUGAGAUCGCUCGGCCAGUAUUGUAUUUAGUUGAAUUGAGUGGUCGUUCGACCAUCUCUUGUUUUCUUUUGAGUUAAUUCGACCGUUCAGUAAUUAUCCUGUGUAAACCGUUCGGUCAGGUUUCUUGUACGUUUAUCUUAAAUUUGUAAAACUCUUAUGUGUGGCGUGCGACUUUUGCACAUUCGUCCGUUAUGUUGGAUUUGUACUCAAGGACGUUCGUCCUUGAGCGUUCGUUCGGGUUUUAUUUUGUUUUUAGUUGGAAAACUGUAUUGAAAUAUUAUUAAAUGUGAUUUUCUGAUUUUAUGGUGUUA
This is a long non-coding RNA of Vigna angularis (adzuki bean), 444 nucleotides long. RefSeq lists it as uncharacterized. The record is from RefSeq and is a predicted model, not a curated record. Lineage: Eukaryota; Viridiplantae; Streptophyta; Magnoliopsida; Fabales; Fabaceae. The transcript has 2 exons.